This 406-nucleotide ribosomal RNA is filed under the name uncultured bacterium. RNAcentral describes it as "partial 16S ribosomal RNA". It matches the Rfam family "Bacterial small subunit ribosomal RNA", at positions 30 to 526 of the family's 1533-position model. The record is from RNAcentral.
AUUGAACGCUGGCGGCAGGCCUAACACAUGCAAGUCGAACGAGUGGCGGACGGGUGAGUAAUGUCUGGGAAACUGCCUGAUGGAGGGGGAUAACUACUGGAAACGGUAGCUAAUACCGCAUACCAUCAGAUGUGCCCAGAUGGGAUUAGCUAGUUGGAGGGUUAACGGCUCACCAAGGCGACGAUCCCUAGCUGGUCUGAGAGGAUGACCAGCCCCACGAGAACGCGGACAGGGUCCAGACUCCGACGGGAGGCCGCGGAGGGGAUUAUUGCACAUUGGGCGCACGCUGGAUGCAGCCCUGCCGCGUGUAUAAAAAAGGCCUUCGGGUUGUAAUGUACUUUCAGCGGGGAGGCGUUACCCGCCGAAGAAGCACCGGCUAACUCCGUGCCAGCAGCCGCGGUAAUAC